CAGACUUGUCUUGGGACAAAAUUGAGAAGAACUCAUAAACUUGGCUGCCUCACUUCUGCUCCUCAGGCUCACUGGCAAAGGCAAAACAGCGCUCAAGGGGCAAUUACCUUCUAUACCAUGGGUGGACGGAGAAGACAGUAACCAGAGAUGGGGAAGCUAGUCAGGAAGCUGCUGAAGUUAUCUGAGAGGUAAGAAGGCUAAGAGCUUAGACAAAGACAACAGUGAAAAGUGGAGAGAUAAAAGACACAAGUGGUUCAGGAGAGCUAUAGAACAUUGUCACUAAAAAUGGAUUUGAGGAGGCUGCGGGAGGGGCAGAUCUAAGAUAACUUCCUGCACAUUAAAUCUGGAAGAAUGAUGGCACAGUGGAUGGCAACAAGGAAGCUGGUGAGUGGAUCCUAUUUAAGGCAGGGUUAGUUUUAUUGUUUUUAUGCUUGACUUAAUGGUAAUAGGAAUUAAACUAACUGGUGGAUGAGAGCCGGUGACUGAAGAGUUACCACCUGCU
Molecule: long non-coding RNA, 502 nt
Filed under: Piliocolobus tephrosceles (Ugandan red Colobus)
Lineage: Eukaryota; Metazoa; Chordata; Mammalia; Primates; Cercopithecidae
Description: lncRNA (ENSPTEG00000010788.1)
Source: RNAcentral